AUGCCCCUUAUGACCUGGGCUACACACGUGCUACAAUGGUUGGUACAACGGGACGCUACCUCGCGAGAGGACGCCAAUCUCUUAAAACCAAUCUCAGUUCGGAUUGUAGGCUGCAACUCGCCUACAUGAAGUCGGAAUCGCUAGUAAUCGCGGAUCAGCAUGCCGCGGUGAAUACGUUCCCGGGCCUU
RNAcentral lists this ribosomal RNA (188 nucleotides) under uncultured Rhodanobacteraceae bacterium. RNAcentral describes it as "partial 16S ribosomal RNA". It matches the Rfam family "Bacterial small subunit ribosomal RNA", at positions 1195 to 1382 of the family's 1533-position model. Lineage: Bacteria; Pseudomonadati; Pseudomonadota; Gammaproteobacteria; Lysobacterales; Rhodanobacteraceae. The record is from RNAcentral.